Molecule: ribosomal RNA, 469 nt
Filed under: Clostridium sp. MT54
Lineage: Bacteria; Bacillati; Bacillota; Clostridia; Eubacteriales; Clostridiaceae
Description: bacterial SSU rRNA
Rfam family: Bacterial small subunit ribosomal RNA
Source: RNAcentral
UUNGACNCCGGCGGCGUNUUUAACACAUGCACGUCGAGCGAUCUCUUCNGAGAGAGCGGCGGACGGGUGAGUAACGCGUGGGUAACCUGCCCUGUACACACGGAUAACAUACCGAAAGGUAUACUAAUACGGGAUAACAUANGAAAGUCGCAUGGCUUUUGUAUCAAAGCUCCGGCGGUACAGGAUGGACCCGCGUCUGAUUAGCUAGUUGGUAAGGUAAUGGCUUACCAAGGCAACGAUCAGUAGCCGACCUGAGAGGGUGAUCGGCCACACUGGAACUGAGACACGGUCCAGACUCCUACGGGAGGCAGCAGUGGGGAAUAUUGCACAAUGGGCGAAAGCCUGAUGCAGCAACGCCGCGUGAGCGAUGAAGGCCUUCGGGUCGUAAAGCUCUGUCCUCAAGGAAGAUAAUGACGGUACUUGAGGAGGAAGCCCCGGCUAACUACGUGCCAGCAGCCNNGGUNGGAAA